GCGGGUUUAGCUCAGUUGGGAGAGCGUCAGACUGAAGAAUUACUUCAUUCUCGUCAAUAUCCAUCAUGGAUCCUUGAUAUCUGAAGGUCAUGUGUUCGAUCCACAUAAACCGCA
Non-coding RNA from Cercophora newfieldiana, 114 nucleotides. NCBI's taxonomy places the organism in Eukaryota, Fungi, Ascomycota, Sordariomycetes, Sordariales, Lasiosphaeriaceae. The record is from the annotation of a GenBank genome assembly.